This 963-nucleotide ribosomal RNA is filed under the name Taeniocerus pygmaeus. Its description in RNAcentral is "partial 16S ribosomal RNA". The record is from RNAcentral. Lineage: Eukaryota; Metazoa; Arthropoda; Insecta; Coleoptera; Passalidae.
UUAUUAUUUUUUCUCGAUAUAAAAUGGGCAAUGAAUUUAUAUAUAUUAAUGUUACAAAAUUAUUUAUAAUAAAUUUAUUGAAAUGAAAUGUUAUUCGUAUUUUAAUAUAUCUAGUUUUUUAAGAAAUAAAUUUAAUUUAUUUGUUGAUAAUUAAUAAUCUUAUUUUUUAGUUUAUUAAUAGUUGACAGAAAAUAUUAUUAGGGAUAAGCUUAAUAGUAAAAGUUUAAUAUAUUUUAUAUUAAGUAUUUAGUGGGAAUAGAAGUUUCUUUCUAUAAUUAGUGUGUUAUUACAAUAUAUUUGGUUAAAAAGAUUUGUAUGAUAUUUAAAUAGUUUAUUAGAAUAUUUAAUUUAAUGGAUUAAUUUAAGUAAUAAUGAUUAAAUUAGUAUAAAUAGGUUGUAUAGUUAUUAUUUAUUGUAAGAUAAAAUAAAGUAAUUCGGCAAAAUAGUUUUCGCCUGUUUAUUAAAAACAUGGUUUUUUGAUUAUAAUUUAAAAUUUGACCUGCCCUAUGAGGAAUUAAAUGGCUGCAGUAUUUUGACUGUACAAAGGUAGCAUAAUAAUUAGUUUUUUAAUUGAGAACUGGAAUGAAAGGUUGGACGAGAAAUUAACUGUCUCUAUUUUAUUUAUAUAAUUUUAUUUUUAAGUAAAAAAGCUUAAAUAUGAUUAAAAGACGAGAAGACCCUAUAGAACUUUAUAUUUAUAGAAUAUGAGUUAUUUAGUAUUAUUAAUGUUUUUAUUUGAUUAAGUAUUAUGUUGGGGUGAUAGGAAAAUUGAAUUAACUUUUUUAUUUUAUUAAUAUUUAUUUAUAGAUUUUUGAUCCAUUGUUAAUGAUUAUUAGAUUAAGUUACCUUAGGGAUAACAGCGUAAUUUCUUUUAAGAGUUCUUAUUUAAAAAGAAGAUUGCGACCUCGAUGUUGGAUUAAAUUUAAUAGUAGGUGAAGGAGCUUAUUUAUUUGGUCUGUUCGA